AGUGAACGCUGGCGGUAGGCCUAACACAUGCAAGUCGAACGGCAGCACAGUAAGAGCUUGCUCUUACGGGUGGCGAGUGGCGGACGGGUGAGGAAUACAUCGGAAUCUACUUUUUCGUGGGGGAUAACGUAGGGAAACUUACGCUAAUACCGCAUACGACCUACGGGUGAAAGCAGGGGAUCUUCGGACCUUGCGCGAUUGAAUGAGCCGAUUUCGGAUUAGCUAGUUGGGGGGGUAAUGGCCCACCAAGGCGACGAUCCGUAGCUGGUCUGAGAGGAUGAUCAGCCACACUGGAACUUGGACACGGUCCAGACUCCUACGGGAGGCAGCAGUGGGGAAUAUUGGACAAUGGGCGCAAGCCUGAUCCAGCCAUACCGCGUGGGUGAAGAAGGCCUUCGGGUUGUAAAGCCCUUUUGUUGGGAAAGAAAAGCAGCAGGUUAAUACCCCGCUGUUCUGACGGUACCCAAAGAAUAAGCACCGGCUAACUUCGUG
RNAcentral lists this ribosomal RNA (492 nucleotides) under uncultured bacterium. RNAcentral's name for it is "partial 16S ribosomal RNA". It matches the Rfam family "Bacterial small subunit ribosomal RNA", at positions 29 to 507 of the family's 1533-position model. The record is from RNAcentral.